RNAcentral lists this long non-coding RNA (404 nucleotides) under Neogale vison (American mink). Its description in RNAcentral is "Neovison vison (American mink) lncRNA (ENSNVIG00000020386.1)". Lineage: Eukaryota; Metazoa; Chordata; Mammalia; Carnivora; Mustelidae. The record is from RNAcentral.
GUCACAGUCUACGACUCAUUCCUUGGCCCAUUUUCUCUCGAAUGGUAAUUGCUGCUCUUCUCCCAGUGGCCAUCCCUCAGUCCUUGCUCCCUGUCACCACCUGGAACAGUGCCUUGCUCAUCAGCAUGUGAAGGAGACGCCUCCCUGGGAGCGACAAGUGACCUUGGAAGUCAUCUACUCCAGUACCUCCUCAGACAUCAGAGGGGGUGUGAAUCAGAAUGUGAUCAUGUCAAGAGGAAGCUUUGGAUUCAGACGGUCCUGGCCCAGACCCUGCAUUUCUUACACGCCCCCCAGCGAUGCUGAUGCCGCUGAUCCCUGAACCAUACGUUAAGUGAAAAGAUUCGAGGCCAGCCAUUCUCAGCCCCUGCUCUACGUUACUUUCACUUGGUGAGCUUUUGAAAAAG